UACGUAGGUGGCAAGCGUUGUCCGGAAUUAUUGGGCGUAAAGCGCGCGCAGGCUGUCUCUUAAGUCUGAUGUGAAAGCCCACGGCUCAACCGUGGAGGGUCAUUGGAAACUGGGAGACUUGAGUGCAGAAGAGGAGAGCGGAAUUCCACGUGUAGCGGUGAAAUGCGUAGAGAUUAGGAAGAACACCAGUGGCGAAGGCGACUUACUGGACUGUAACUGACGCUGAGGCAUGAAAGCGUGGGGAGCAAACAGG
This 253-nucleotide ribosomal RNA is filed under the name uncultured bacterium. RNAcentral describes it as "partial 16S ribosomal RNA". It matches the Rfam family "Bacterial small subunit ribosomal RNA", at positions 524 to 776 of the family's 1533-position model. The record is from RNAcentral.